RNAcentral lists this ribosomal RNA (497 nucleotides) under uncultured bacterium. RNAcentral describes it as "partial 16S ribosomal RNA". It matches the Rfam family "Bacterial small subunit ribosomal RNA", at positions 28 to 507 of the family's 1533-position model. The record is from RNAcentral.
GAUGAACGCUGGCGGCGUGCCUAAUACAUGCAAGUCGAGCGAACAGACGAGGCGCUUGCUCCUCUGACGUUAGCGGCGGACGGGUGAGUAACACGUGGAUAACCUACCUAUAAGACUGGGAUAACUUCGGGAAACCGGCGCUUAUACCGGAUAAUAUAUUGAACCGCAUGGUUCAAUAGUGAAAGACGGCUUUGCUGUCACUUAUAGAUGGAUCCGCGCCGCUUUAGCUAGUUGGUACGGUAACGGCUUACCAAGGCAACGAUGCGUAGCCGACCGGAGAGGGUGAUCGGCCACACUGGAACUGAGACACGGUCCAGACUCCUACGGGAGGCAGCAGUAGGGAAUCUUCCGCAAUGGGCGAAAGCCUGACGGAGCAACGCCGCGUGAGUGAUGAAGGUCUUCGGAUCGUAAAACUCUGUUAUUAGGGAAGAACAAAUGUGUAAGUAACUAUGCACGUCUUGACGGUACCUAAUCAGAAAGCCACGGCUAACUACGUG